AUAAUAAAAAUAAAGGAAUUAAUAACCAUUAUAUAAUGGCGGUCCUAAUAAAUUAAAGAAACUCGCUUAAUAAUCGUAAAUACCCGAUAAUUUUCACUUUAUCUAACAGUUUAUAUACCUCCGUAUAGAGAUGAACAAUUAAUCAACUCAAUACAUAAAAAUAUCUAAAAUCAGGUCAAGGUGUAACCUAUGAUAAUGGUAAAGUAAGUUACUCUAAAUAAAAUUAAAGGAAAAUAUACUAACAGUUAGUUAGAAAAAGAAUUUAAUCGUACAAUCUAAUUAAAAAUUAGAAUAGAUAAAAAUAUAAAGACGC
Molecule: ribosomal RNA, 313 nt
Filed under: Pholcus andulau
Lineage: Eukaryota; Metazoa; Arthropoda; Arachnida; Araneae; Pholcidae
Description: partial 12S ribosomal RNA
Source: RNAcentral